AUUGAGCGCUGGCGGCAGGCCUAACACAUGCAAGUCGAGCGGAUGGAGGGAGCUUGCUCCUGGAUUCAGCGGCGGACGGGUGAGUAAUGCCUAGGAAUCUGCCUGGUAGUGGGGGAUAACGUCCGGAAACGGGCGCUAAUACCGCAUACGUCCUGAGGGAGAAAGUGGGGGAUCUUCGGACCUCACGCUAUCAGAUGAGCCUAGGUCGGAUUAGCUAGUUGGUGGGGUAAAGGCCUACCAAGGCGACGAUCCGUAACUGGUCUGAGAGGAUGAUCAGUCACACUGGAACUGAGACACGGUCCAGACUCCUACGGGAGGCAGCAGUGGGGAAUAUUGGACAAAGGGCGAAAGCCUGAUCCAGCCAUGCCGCGUGUGUGAAGAAGGUCUUCGGAUUGUAAAGCACUUUAAGUUGGGAGGAAGGGCAGUAAGUUAAUACCUUGCUGUUUUGACGUUACCAACAGAAUAAGCACCGGCUAACUUCGUG
Molecule: ribosomal RNA, 484 nt
Filed under: uncultured bacterium
Lineage: Bacteria
Description: partial 16S ribosomal RNA
Rfam family: Bacterial small subunit ribosomal RNA
Source: RNAcentral